Molecule: ribosomal RNA, 244 nt
Filed under: uncultured Comamonas sp.
Lineage: Bacteria; Pseudomonadati; Pseudomonadota; Betaproteobacteria; Burkholderiales; Comamonadaceae
Description: partial 16S ribosomal RNA
Rfam family: Bacterial small subunit ribosomal RNA
Source: RNAcentral
UCUAAUGAGACUGCCGGUGACAAACCGGAGGAAGGUGGGGAUGACGUCAAGUCCUCAUGGCCCUUAUAGUGGGGCUACACACGUCAUACAAUGGCUGGUACAAAGGGUUGCCAACCCGCGAGGGGGAGCCAAUCCCAUAAAGCCAGUCGUAGUCCGGAUCGCAGUCUGCAACUCGACUGCGUGAAGUCGGAAUCGCUAGUAAUCGUGGAUCAGCAUGUCACGGUGAAUACCGUUCCCGGGUCUU